RNAcentral lists this ribosomal RNA (762 nucleotides) under uncultured Peptostreptococcus sp. Its description in RNAcentral is "bacterial SSU rRNA". It matches the Rfam family "Bacterial small subunit ribosomal RNA", at positions 28 to 776 of the family's 1533-position model. Lineage: Bacteria; Bacillati; Bacillota; Clostridia; Peptostreptococcales; Peptostreptococcaceae. The record is from RNAcentral.
GAUGAACGCUGGCGGCGUGCCUAACACGUGCAAGUCGAGCGAGGGUUUGCUCAGUAUUGAGUAUUCUAAGACUAGAAUGUUCAAUUCUGAGCAAAACCAAGCGGCGGACGGGUGAGUAACGCGUGGGUAACCUGCCCUAUACACAUGGAUAACAUACUGAAAAGUUUACUAAUACAUGAUAAUAUAUAUUUGCGGCAUCGUAGAUAUAUCAAAGUGUUAGCGGUAUAGGAUGGACCCGCGUCUGAUUAGCUAGUUGGUGAGAUAACUGCCCACCAAGGCGACGAUCAGUAGCCGACCUGAGAGGGUGAUCGGCCACAUUGGAACUGAGACACGGUCCAAACUCCUACGGGAGGCAGCAGUGGGGAAUAUUGCACAAUGGGCGAAAGCCUGAUGCAGCAACGCCGCGUGAACGAUGAAGGUCUUCGGAUCGUAAAGUUCUGUUGCAGGGGAAGAUAAUGACGGUACCCUGUGAGGAAGCCCCGGCUAACUACGUGCCAGCAGCCGCGGUAAUACGUAGGGGGCUAGCGUUAUCCGGAUUUACUAGGCGUAAAGGGUGCGUAGGUGGUCCUUCAAGUCGGUGGUUAAAGGCUACGGCUCAACCGUAGUAAGCCGCCGAAACUGGAGGACUUGAGUGCAGGAGAGGAAAGUGGAAUUCCCAGUGUAGCGGUGAAAUGCGUAGAUAUUGGGAGGAACACCAGUAGCGAAGGCGGCUUUCUGGACUGCAACUGACACUGAGGCACGAAAGCGUGGGUAGCAAACAGG